ACAAGCGGUGGAGCAUGUGGUUUAAUUCGAAGCAACGCGAAGAACCUUACCAGGUCUUGACAUCCCCUGACAACCCGAGAGAUCGGGCGUUCCCCUUCGGGGGACAGGGUGACAGGUGGUGCAUGGUUGUCGUCAGCUCGUGUCGUGAGAUGUUGGGUUAAGUCCCGCAACGAGCGCAACCCUCGACCUUAGUUGCCAGCAUUCAGUUGGGCACUCUAAGGUGACUGCCGGCUAAAAGUCGGAGGAAGGUGGGGAUGACGUCAAAUCAUCAUGCCCCUUAUGACCUGGGCUACACACGUGCUACAAUGGUUGGUACAACGAGUUGCGAGUCGGUGACGGCGAGCUAAUCUCUUAAAGCCAAUCUCAGUUCGGAUUGUAGGCUGCAACUCGCCUACAUGAAGUCGGAAUCGCUAGUAAUCGCGGAUCAGCACGCCGCGGUGAAUACGUUCCCGGGCCUU
This 458-nucleotide ribosomal RNA is filed under the name uncultured Anoxybacillus sp. RNAcentral describes it as "bacterial SSU rRNA". It matches the Rfam family "Bacterial small subunit ribosomal RNA", at positions 925 to 1382 of the family's 1533-position model. The record is from RNAcentral. Lineage: Bacteria; Bacillati; Bacillota; Bacilli; Caryophanales; Anoxybacillaceae.